Anarrhichthys ocellatus (wolf-eel) is the source of this 524-nucleotide long non-coding RNA. RefSeq lists it as uncharacterized. The record is from RefSeq and is a predicted model, not a curated record. The transcript is spliced from 3 exons. Lineage: Eukaryota; Metazoa; Chordata; Actinopteri; Perciformes; Anarhichadidae.
GCAUCUAAAGCGGUGACAUGAAUGUAGUUGAGUAGAAGUACAAAGUGACAUGAAAUGUAAGUAAGAAGCAGCUCAAAGUACAGGACGGUUCCUCUCCAGCGCUGGAGAAGAAGAAGAAGAAGAAGAAGAACUUAAUGAAUUUGAACUCGGUGUCUCGUCUCCCUCAGAUCUGAGGAACAGCUCGGCGGUGUUCUGGGAGGGCGGAGUCAGCGGUGGAUACCAGGCCUUGUUAUUGGACGAAGACCAAGGAUGGCUGCUGGUCGGAGGGAAGGACCACAUCUACCUGCUGAGGCCGGACAGCUUGGACCUGCCCACGCAUACGAUCCACUGGCCGGCUGCCAGAGAACAUGUGGAGCACUGCUGCCUGGCAGGGAAAAGUCUGGAGAUAGAAUGUGCUAACUUCGUGCGUCUGCUGCAGCCGUUCAAUAAGACCCACGUCUAUGCUUGUGGCACCGGAGCCUUCCAUCCACAGUGUACAUACCUGCACAUAGGACACAACACAGAGGUAUUCAUAUGUUUAUUCA